GCCCAGACUCCUACGGGAGGCAGCAGUGGGGAAUAUUGCACAAUGGGGGAAGCCCUGAUGCAGCGACGCCGCGUGAGUGAAGAAGUCAUUCGUUAUGUAAAGCUCUAUCAGCAGGGAAGAAAAUGACGGUACCUGAGUAAGAAGCCCCGGCUAACUACGUGCCAGCAGCCGCGGUAAUACGUAGGGGGCAAGCGUUAUCCGGAUUUACUGGGUGUAAAGGGAGCGUAGACGGCAGUGCAAGUCUGGAGUGAAAGGCGGGGGCUCAACCCCCGGACUGCUCUGGAAACUGUACGGCUGGAGUGCAGGAGAGGUAAGUGGAAUUCCUAGUGUAGCGGUGAAAUGCGUAGAUAUUAGGAAGAACACCAGUGGCGAAGGCGACUUUCUGGACUGUAACUGACGUUGAGGCACGAAAGUGUGGGGAGCAAACAGGAUUAGAUACCCGGGUAAG
Molecule: ribosomal RNA, 448 nt
Filed under: uncultured bacterium
Lineage: Bacteria
Description: bacterial SSU rRNA
Rfam family: Bacterial small subunit ribosomal RNA
Source: RNAcentral